UUCAGUUUAUUGUCACAUGUACCGAGGUACAGGGAAAAGCUUUUGUUACUUGCUAAUCAGUCAGUGAAGAAACAAUACACGAUUAUAAUCUAGCCAUUCACAGUGUACAGAUACAUGAUAAGGGAAUAAUGUUUAGUGCAAGGUAAAGCCAGUAUUGUCCAAUCAUAGAUCGUCCGAGGGUAGGAUUAGUGAUUUAAAAGG
This is a long non-coding RNA of Amblyraja radiata (thorny skate), 201 nucleotides long. RefSeq lists it as uncharacterized. NCBI's taxonomy places the organism in Eukaryota, Metazoa, Chordata, Chondrichthyes, Rajiformes, Rajidae. The record is from RefSeq and is a predicted model, not a curated record. The transcript has 3 exons.